GCUACGGGAGGCAGCAGUGGGGAAUAUUGCACAAUGGGGGAAACCCUGAUGCAGCGACGCCGCGUGAGCGAUGAAGUAUUUCGGGAUGUAAAGCUCUAUCAGCAGGGAAGAAAAUGACGGUACCUGACUAAGAAGCCCCGGCGAACUACGUGCCAGCAGCCGCGGUAAUACGUAGGGGGCAAGCGUUAUCCGGAUUUACUGGGGGGACAGGGCGCGGAGCCUGCGGGGCAAGCCAGCUGUGAAAGCCCGGGGCUCCACCCCGGGCCUGCAUUUGGAACUGUGCUGCUAGAGUGUCGGAGAGGCAGGCGGAAUUCCUAGUGUAGCCGUGCCAUGCGUAGAUAUUAGGAG
Molecule: ribosomal RNA, 348 nt
Filed under: uncultured bacterium
Lineage: Bacteria
Description: partial 16S ribosomal RNA
Rfam family: Bacterial small subunit ribosomal RNA
Source: RNAcentral